RNAcentral lists this ribosomal RNA (92 nucleotides) under Penaeus chinensis. The record is from RNAcentral. Lineage: Eukaryota; Metazoa; Arthropoda; Malacostraca; Decapoda; Penaeidae.
GCCAACGAUCACACCACGUUGAAAGUACCGCUUCUCGUCCGAUCAGCGAAGUUAAGCAGCGUUGGGUCUGGUCAGUACUUGGAUGGGCGACC